GAAGGAUUAGUUAAACAAAUAACAUUAGAAUGUCAAACUAAAAUUAUCGAAUAGAUAUCCUUCU
RNAcentral lists this transfer RNA (64 nucleotides) under Ectobiidae sp. BB. Its description in RNAcentral is "tRNA-Asp". Lineage: Eukaryota; Metazoa; Arthropoda; Insecta; Blattodea; Ectobiidae. The record is from RNAcentral.